CCUGAUUCAUUACCCGAGAUUUCUUUUCAAUUCAUUUACAAACAUAUUGGAUUACACUUAUCAAGUCUUUAAAGCUCUGCUUUGCUUACUUUCACACACCCCUUAAAACGUCUUGGUCUUCAUUAAAAGAAUAAUACAGACCAUUAAAGGACCACUCUACAUUCACAAAGCACGUCAGCUUGCUGAAGAGAGUAACUGCAUACCCCCUUGUCUCAAUUCAAUAACGACAAUUCAGGAGAAAUGUCUUUGAAAUACUAUAAAAAUAAUAAAACAUUCUUAAAU
Non-coding RNA from Pelobates cultripes (western spadefoot toad), 282 nucleotides. The record is from the annotation of a GenBank genome assembly. NCBI's taxonomy places the organism in Eukaryota, Metazoa, Chordata, Amphibia, Anura, Pelobatidae.